UGCAAGUCGAACGGUAACAUUUCUAGCUUGCUAGAAGAUGACGAGUGGCGGACGGGUGAGUAAUGCUUGGGAACUUGCCUUUGCGAGGGGGAUAACAGUUGGAAACGACUGCUAAUACCGCAUAAUGUCUUCGGACCAAACGGGGCUUCGGCUCCGGCGCAAAGAGAGGCCCAAGUGAGAUUAGCUAGUUGGUAAGGUAACGGCUUACCAAGGCGACGAUCUCUAGCUGUUCUGAGAGGAAGAUCAGCCACACUGGGACUGAGACACGGCCCAGACUCCUACGGGAGGCAGCAGUGGGGAAUAUUGCACAAUGGGGGAAACCCUGAUGCAGACAUGCCGCGUGUGUGAAGAAGGCCUUCGGGUUGUAAAGCACUUUCAGUUGUGAGGAAAAGUUAGUAGUUAAUACCUGCUAGCCGUGACGUUAACAACAGAAGAAGCACCGGCUAACUCCGUGCCAGCAGCCGCGGUAAUACGGAGGGUGCGAGCGUUAAUCGGAAUUACUGGGCGUAAAGCGCACGCAGGCGGUUUGUUAAGCUAGAUGUGAAAGCCCCGGGCUCAACCUGGGAUGGUCAUUUA
This 576-nucleotide ribosomal RNA is filed under the name uncultured bacterium. RNAcentral describes it as "bacterial SSU rRNA". It matches the Rfam family "Bacterial small subunit ribosomal RNA", at positions 56 to 629 of the family's 1533-position model. The record is from RNAcentral.